CAAAAGGCCCUACUAAGGGCCCCCCGUAUAUGACUAGGGUUCUUGG
This is a non-coding RNA of Picea glauca (white spruce), 46 nucleotides long. The record is from Rfam. NCBI's taxonomy places the organism in Eukaryota, Viridiplantae, Streptophyta, Pinopsida, Pinales, Pinaceae.